GACGAACCGUCCAAACGUUAUUCGGAAUCACUGGGCUUACAGAGUUCGUAGGCGGUCUGGAAAGUUGGGUGUGAAAUCCCUCGGCCUAACCGAGGAACUGCGCUUGGAACUACCAGACUCGAGGGAGAUAGAGGAAAGCGGAACUGAUGGUGGAGCGGUGAAAUGCGUUGAUAUCAUCAGGAACACCGGUGGCGAAGGCGGCUUUCUGGGUCUUACCUGACGCUGAGGAACGAAAGCCAGGGGAGCGAACGGG
This 253-nucleotide ribosomal RNA is filed under the name uncultured bacterium. Its description in RNAcentral is "partial 16S ribosomal RNA". It matches the Rfam family "Bacterial small subunit ribosomal RNA", at positions 524 to 776 of the family's 1533-position model. The record is from RNAcentral.